Long non-coding RNA from Papaver somniferum (opium poppy), 2399 nucleotides. RefSeq lists it as uncharacterized. The transcript is spliced from 2 exons. Lineage: Eukaryota; Viridiplantae; Streptophyta; Magnoliopsida; Ranunculales; Papaveraceae. The record is from RefSeq and is a predicted model, not a curated record.
CGACAAAAUGAACCAGAGUUCGAAUCCUGCAGUACCCAUUUUCGCGUUUGGUUUUUAACUUUUUCUCGCAUCUUCAGAAUUUCCUUCUUUCGUAUCUUGAGAAGAAAGAACAACUAAUAUCGUCGUAUUCAUGAGAAACUUCAAUCAUCUUCUCUGUUCUUCUCUAUUAACCUAGCGCCUCACUGAAACAAAAACAAAGUGAACCGAAGAAUUGGUAUUUUCCCCUCUCGCCAAUCAUCCAUGAAAAAGGUGGGAUCAGAUGAACAAGAAAAAACGACGAAACUUCGAAGAAACUUCUUAAGUAAGUGUCAGACAUGAUCUAGGGCCAAUUUGCGGCUGAAAAUUCUUUUGAUUGUGUAAUUUCGAGUUCUAGGGUUAGUUUUGGGGUCAAUUUUAGCAAAAGAAGAAGAAGAAGAAGAAGAACCCUAAUUUGAAAAAGGAAUUAACUGUAAGUAUAUACCACUACCUUGCCUUUUAUUUGAAAAACCCUAAUUUUUUCUGUAGGCACUUACAAAAUUUGCUCAAUUGAUUCUUACAUUCCUGAAAUUUGGAUUGGUUUCUUAAUGUUUGUGAAUGUUGUAACCCUUUGUUCUGAAAUUUAUCAAUUUCAAUUUCUCCUUCCUUUGGAAGGUAUAGGUGAAAUUUCUUCAAAUUCAUUUUCUGCUAAAUCCCCAAACAUUUACUUUAGAAGUAUACAUUACAUUUAGUUUAUUAUGAUUGCGACUCAACAAGUUCAUGGAGGGAUUUUUGGGAAUUUUGGUUCUCUUCAAGAAAUUCAGUAUCUUUAGCUAGAUUAGAAAUUGGUGGAAGGAAAAUUACCUUCAGCUUUAGGAAAUUGCUCUUGGUUCAUGCACUUGAACAAAUGUUAUCAUUGACCUAGAUGAAUGGAAGUCCAUUGCAUAUGUUUGAGUGGCUAUUGCACACUGUCCAUGACAAUAGUUUCCGAUUGUUACCUUAGAAAAAAGAAAACAAAUAACAAUAAAAAAACAAGAAUUCAGAGCAAUUGUCAACUUUGCAUUAGCUUACCAUUCUGAAGGCGGAGUUGGAUUCGCAAGGUAGUCGUUGAUACCAUUUUAUAAAUAGCUACAUGGAUUUUCAACGGCUUCAUGAUUAACAUCUUUGAAGUAGUUAAUUACUAGCUUAUACGAAACAUGGUUAGCUAAUGAUUAGAUAACAAUUAGCUAAGAACUCUCCUUUGCUUUUGCAUAUACAUGCAUAUUUUUUAAUUAGAUGUACUUGCAUUAGCCAUAAUAAUUGUUACCUAAACAUGGUUAGAAAUUGAUCAGAUAAUCUCUCUUUUAUGUACCAUGUAUCAUGACAUGUGGUGGAUUAUUCCCUGAACUUAACACGGUGAUCCGGAAGAUUUUAUGGGGAUAAGGAUAUGGUAGUAUUUCGGAAAUGGAAAGGAGAAAAGUAUUUUUUUAGGAUAUCGGUAGUGCACAAUUCUUUGUAUGUGCAUGAUCCGCUCAGUAUCGCCGAUUCACAAGAGAAUCGGCAUAUGUAGGGUGGAUGCAGGGUUUCUAUACUCAAAAUACAGUUCUACUGACACCAAAGGUUGUGAAUGACAUCCAUAAACGGUGGGACUAUCCUUGGGUCAUCAAGAGGUGGCCAUCAUACCUCAAAGAUAGUUGACAACAUUUAAGACCGGGGCAUUGACCAGGUACAGAGAUACGAAUGUAAAUUGCUUUCAUAUCAAGGUUUUUUAAUCCAACCUAUGAAUGAUUUCUCCGCAUGUUAUUAUUGACUACUUUGGGGCUUUAUAAUGGAUCUGUUUUAACAUGUUGAGUGGCUUUCUACCAAUUUUAUGAGCACGCAUCUGAGGCACGCAAACAAGCUGUUUUCCAAGCAUUGUUAGGGGCCAGAGUUUCAAUAGUCAACAACAGAUGUCAUAGGGCAAGAUGGGAGAUGAAGCUGGUGUCUGAUUGAACCCAAGUCACAUACAAAGCUUUCGGAUGCUAUUAUGAAUAUGAAGGAGUUCUUAUAGCUGGAAUACUUUCGGUGUAAAUGGAAUUGUUUGAUAGAAAAGUUCGAUUUUAUUUGAAAUGGAAUGGCAGGCGCCGCGCAUCGCGCAUGCGGCUUGACUAGAAGUUGAUGGAGUUACUUAAUGAGAAUAAAUGUCGUUAUUAAACUUCAAGUUUCAAUUUCUCCUUUGCUGAAAAAUGUGGAUGAAAUGUCCACUGAUCAAGUUUAUAUUAGAAUUUUUAUGUGGAUAAAGCUCGUUUUUCUCGGUCGGAAUUUCGGAUCUUCUUUGGUCAGUAUCUUGAUAUAUGUUACAGACUUAAAUUGUUUCUACUCUUCACGAUCAAUGUUUUUGCGGCAAUACAAUUUUUGUGCAUCCAUGAUUUUAAAAAUUAUAUAUUCAAUAUAAUGAAAGACAUAUUAAUUCUUUUGUUUUCUAA